This 261-nucleotide long non-coding RNA is filed under the name Olea europaea subsp. europaea. The record is from RNAcentral. Lineage: Eukaryota; Viridiplantae; Streptophyta; Magnoliopsida; Lamiales; Oleaceae.
ACUUCCUGUAUCUAAGUAAGCAUGAAAUUUAAUUCUACAAUAAUCUUUUAUAUUGAGUGUAAUUUCAAUAUAUGGACUCAUGGGAUUAGUACUUAUUACUCUUUCCAUGAUAAUAAUGAUUUCAUAUUUUCAUCUAUUCUUGGAAUGAUGAUUGGAUUAUCAUCAACUGUUAUUUUCAAGUAUCCUUGACAGAUUUUGUAAGGACUAUAUUUUUCAAGAAAGUUCAUUCCUAAUAGAAUAGGUGAACGAUUCACUCCAUAU